This 270-nucleotide ribosomal RNA is filed under the name uncultured bacterium. RNAcentral describes it as "partial 16S ribosomal RNA". It matches the Rfam family "Bacterial small subunit ribosomal RNA", at positions 57 to 305 of the family's 1533-position model. The record is from RNAcentral.
GCAAGUCGAACGGGAAAUGCUUGGAGCUUGCUUUGAGUGUUUUUAGUGGCGGACGGGUGAGUAUCACGUGAGCAACCUGCCCAGAAGAUCGGGAUAGCCCGGGGAAACUCGGAUUAAUACCGUAUGGCAUCAGGAAUGGCAUCAUUCUCUGAUUAAAGGUGGGGACCCUUCGGGGCCUGCCGCUUCUGGAUGGGCUCGCGGCCUAUCAGCUAGAUGGUGAGGUAAAAGCUCACCAAGGCUACGAUCUUUAGCGGGUCUGAGAGGACGAUC